This 332-nucleotide ribosomal RNA is filed under the name Vaejovis mexicanus. Its description in RNAcentral is "partial 12S ribosomal RNA". The record is from RNAcentral. Lineage: Eukaryota; Metazoa; Arthropoda; Arachnida; Scorpiones; Vaejovidae.
UUUAGAUUAUAAAAUUAAGUAGUAAAGAAUUUCCUGAAACUUAAAGAAUUUGGCGGUAUUUUAACUAAUUGGAGGAACCUGUUAUUUAAUUGAUACUACACAUUUAAUUUCUCCUAAAAUUUGUUUGUAUAUCGUUGUUUUCAGAUAAUAUUAAAAAAUUAUUAUCAAUUCUAAUUAAAUUUCAUAAAUCAAAUCAAGGUGCAGCAUUUUUGGGUAUUAAUGGGUUACAAUAUAUGUAAUAUAUCACGAAUAAAAUAUUAAAAUAUAAUGAAGGUGGAUUCAAAAGUAAUUUAAAAUUAAAUAGUUUUUUUGAUUUAUAAUUUAAAAUAUGC